GGAUUGUAAACUGCUUAACUGGGGAAACACUCCAACGUGUUGGAGCUUGACGGUAUCGUAAGAAUAAGGAUCGGCUAACUCCGUGCCAGCAGCCGCGGUAAUACGGAGGAUCCAAGCGUUAUCCGGAAUCAUUGGGUUUAAAGGGUCCGUAGGCGGUUUAGUAAGUCAGUGGUGAAAGCCCAUCGCUCAACGGUGGAACGGCCAUUGAUACUGCUAAACUUGAAUUAUUAGGAAGUAACUAGAAUAUGUAGUGUAGCGGUGAAAUGCUUAGAGAUUACAUGGAAUACCAAUUGCGAAGGCAGGUUACUACUAAUGGAUUGACGCUGAUGGACGAAAGCGUGGGUAGCGAACAGGAUUAGAUACCCUGGUAGUCCACGCCGUAAACGAUGGAUACUAGCUGUUGGAAGCAAUUUCAGUGGCUAAGCGAAAGUGAUAAGUAUCCCACCUGGGGAGUACGUUCGCAAGAAUGAAACUCAAAGGAAUUGACGGGGGCCCGCACAAGCGGUGGAGCAUGUGGUUUAAUUCGAUGAUACUCGAGGAACCUUACCAAGGCUUAAAUGUAGAUUGACCGGUUUGGAAACAGAUCUUUUCGCAAGA
RNAcentral lists this ribosomal RNA (597 nucleotides) under Flavobacterium sp. Ri1Pt_3701. RNAcentral describes it as "bacterial SSU rRNA". It matches the Rfam family "Bacterial small subunit ribosomal RNA", at positions 420 to 1024 of the family's 1533-position model. The record is from RNAcentral. Lineage: Bacteria; Pseudomonadati; Bacteroidota; Flavobacteriia; Flavobacteriales; Flavobacteriaceae.